Vicia faba (fava bean) is the source of this 252-nucleotide non-coding RNA. The record is from the annotation of a GenBank genome assembly. NCBI's taxonomy places the organism in Eukaryota, Viridiplantae, Streptophyta, Magnoliopsida, Fabales, Fabaceae.
AUGGGAUUUCUGGAGCUAUUUUCUGUUGCUUCUUUCCCUGUCAUCAAAGUACUACUACUCACUGCAAUUGGUUUACUUCUUGCAUUGGAUCACAUCAAUUUGCUGGGAAAAGACGCAAGGAAUCAAACCAAUCAUCUUGUACAUUAUGUGUUUAAUCCUGCUAUGGUUGGUGGUAAUUUGGCAGAAACAAUCACUUAUGAGAAUGUUGUUAUGUUGUGGUUCAUGCCGGUGUUUGUUCUGCAGGAAAUUUAG